AACGUACGCUGGCGGCACGCCUAACACAUGCAAGUCGAACGCAGUAGCAAUACUGAGUGGCAAACGGGUGAGUAUAAUGUGGGAAUCUGCCUUUUGGUUUGGAAUAACACGGGGAAACUUGUGCUAAUACCGAAUAAGCCCUUACGGGGAAAGUUUUAAUGCCGAAAGAUGAGCCCGCACUUGAUUAGCUAGUUGGUAAGGUAAAAGCUUACCAAGGCAACGAUCAAUAGCUGUUCUUAGAGGAAGACCAGCCACAUUGGGACUGAGACACGGCCCAGACUCCUACGGGAGGCAGCAGUGGGGAAUCUUGCACAAUGGGGGAAACCCUGAUGCAGCGAUGCCGCGUGAGUGAAGAAGGCCCUUGGGUUGUAAAACUCUUUCGUCGGGGAAGAAAAUGACUGUACCCGAAUAAGAAGGUCCGGCUAACUUCGUG
RNAcentral lists this ribosomal RNA (433 nucleotides) under uncultured Pelagibacterales bacterium. Its description in RNAcentral is "bacterial SSU rRNA". It matches the Rfam family "Bacterial small subunit ribosomal RNA", at positions 29 to 507 of the family's 1533-position model. The record is from RNAcentral. Lineage: Bacteria; Pseudomonadati; Pseudomonadota; Alphaproteobacteria; Candidatus Pelagibacterales.